CCUACGGGUGGCUGCAGUGAGGAAUAUUGGUCAAUGGCCGAGAGGCUGAACCAGCCAAGUCGCGUGAGGGAUGACGGCCCUACGGGUUGUAAACUUCUUUUGUAGAGGAGUAAAGUGAACCACGUGUGGCUUUUUGAGAGUACUUUAUGAAUAAGGAUCGGCUAACUCCGUGCCAGCAGCCGCGGUAAUACGGAGGAUCCGAGCGUUAUCCGGAUUUAUUGGGUUUAAAGGGAGCGUAGGUGGGUUUUUAAGGCAGUUGUGAAAGUUGGUGGCACAACCGUAAAAUUGCAAUUGAUAUGGGCAGUAGUGAGUACAGGUGAGGUAGGCGGAAGUCGUGGUGUAGCGGUGAAAUGAUUAGAUAUCACGAAGAACUCCGAUUGCGAAGGCAGCGUACUAAACGGCCACUGACAUUGAUGCUCGAAAGUGUGGGUAUCAAACAGGAUGAGAUACCCUUGUAGUC
This 460-nucleotide ribosomal RNA is filed under the name uncultured bacterium. RNAcentral describes it as "partial 16S ribosomal RNA". It matches the Rfam family "Bacterial small subunit ribosomal RNA", at positions 338 to 795 of the family's 1533-position model. The record is from RNAcentral.